CGAUGGAUAGGGGUUCUGAGAGGAAGGUCCCCCACAUUGGAACUGAGACACGGUCCAAACUCCUACGGGAGGCAGCAGUGAGGAAUAUUGGUCAAUGGGCGAGAGCCUGAACCAGCCAAGUAGCGUGAAGGAUGACUGCCCUAUGGGUUGUAAACUUCUUUUAUAAAGGAAUAAAGUCGGGUAUGGAUACCCGUUUGCAUGUACUUUAUGAAUAAGGAUCGGCUAACUCCGUGCCAGCAGCCGCGGUAAUACGGAGGAUCCGAGCGUUAUCCGGAUUUAUUGGGUUUAAAGGGAGCGUAGAUGGAUGUUUAAGUCAGUUGUGAAAGUUUGCGGCUCAACCGUAAAAUUGCAGUUGAUACUGGAUAUCUUGAGUGCAGUUGAGGCAGGCGGAAUUCGUGGUGUAGCGGUGAAAUGCUUAGAUAUCACGAAGAACUCCGAUUGCGAAGGCAGCCUGCUAAGCUGCAACUGACAUUGAGGCUCGAAAGUGUGGGUAUCAAACAGGAUUAGAUACCCUGGUAGUCCACACGGUAAACGAUGAAUACUCGCUGUUUGCGAUAUACAGCAAGCGGCCAAGCGAAAGCGUUAAGUAUUCCACCUGGGGAGUACGCCGGCAACGGUGAAACUCAAAGGAAUUGACGGGGGCCCGCACAAGC
RNAcentral lists this ribosomal RNA (653 nucleotides) under uncultured bacterium. RNAcentral's name for it is "bacterial SSU rRNA". It matches the Rfam family "Bacterial small subunit ribosomal RNA", at positions 277 to 930 of the family's 1533-position model. The record is from RNAcentral.